AUUUAAAUAGUUUAAAUUAAAAUAUUGAUUUGUGGUGUCAAAGAUGCAAAAUUGUUGUUUUAGAUC
This 66-nucleotide transfer RNA is filed under the name Mecopoda niponensis. RNAcentral's name for it is "tRNA-His". Lineage: Eukaryota; Metazoa; Arthropoda; Insecta; Orthoptera; Tettigoniidae. The record is from RNAcentral.